GACGAACGCGGCGGCGUGCUUAACACAUGCAAGUCGAACGAAGAGCGAUGGAAGCUUGCUUCUAUCAAUCUUAGUGGCGAACGGGUGAGUAACGCGUAAUCAACCUGCCCUUCAGAGGGGGACAACAGUUGGAAACGACUGCUAAUACCGCAUACGAUCUAACCUCGGCAUCGAGGAUAGAUGAAAGGUGGCCUCUACAUGUAAGCUAUCACUGAAGGAGGGGAUUGCGUCUGAUUAGCUAGUUGGAGGGGUAACGGCCCACCAAGGCGAUGAUCAGUAGCCGGUCUGAGAGGAUGAACGGCCACAUUGGGACUGAGACACGGCCCAGACUCCUACGGGAGGCAGCAGUGGGGAAUCUUCCGCAAUGGACGAAAGUCUGACGGAGCAACGCCGCGUGAGUGAUGACGGCCUUCGGGUUGUAAAGCUUUGUUAAUCGGGACGAAA
RNAcentral lists this ribosomal RNA (444 nucleotides) under Veillonella parvula. Its description in RNAcentral is "bacterial SSU rRNA". It matches the Rfam family "Bacterial small subunit ribosomal RNA", at positions 28 to 450 of the family's 1533-position model. The record is from RNAcentral. Lineage: Bacteria; Bacillati; Bacillota; Negativicutes; Veillonellales; Veillonellaceae.